CCUGUGUUUUAUGUAAGCACUUCCUCUUCUCUGCUUCUUCUCCGAAUUCCUCAACCAAAUUGAUUUCAUUUAUUUAUUCCAUAAACUGUGUUAUGAUCGAAAAUAGGGCUGUUGUUGGCUCAAUAUGGCGAUUGCUACACGUUUUGUGAUGAGAAUUUCAAGAUCGGCUUCGGCAAACCAGAAACUGGGAAUAGGGUUUUGCCAAAGGAGGUUUAUGAGGGUUUUGACGUGUGAAGAACAGGAAUUGAUUACUGACAUUGAAAAUGUCAAGAACCGGAGGUUUGUGGCUCUAUGGGGAAAUGGUGAUUAUGGGAGGUUGGGUUUGGGUAGCUUGGAAUCGAAAUGGAGGCCGGCUUUGUGUUCGGCUUUUGGCGACGGAAAUCUCCGUGAGAUUGCAUGUGGUGGGGCUCACACCUUGUUCUUAACAGACACUGGAGAUGUAUAUGCUGCUGGACUCAAUGACUAUGGCCAACUGGGUGUGUCAGAUGGUAGAAGCUACACAAUUGACCCACUUGAAGUUUCUGGACUUCCCAAGGAUAUUGUGAAAAUUUCAGCUGGCUAUUAUCACUCUUCAGCAAUUACAGAAAGUGGAGAACUGUAUAUGUGGGGCAAGAAUUCUAGUGGUCAACUUGGGCUUGGAAGGAAGGCAGCAAAGGUGAUUCCAGUCCCAAGUAAAGUAGAUUUUCUCAGUGAAGUCCCUGUUAAGAUGGCUGCUUUGGGUUCUGAUCACUCUAUUGCUGUUACAGAAAAAGGUGAGGUCUUAAGUUGGGGAGGAGGAGAGUAUGGAAGGCUUGGUCAUGGACACAAAUCAAGCCUCUUGGGCUUUCUGAGUUCUACCAGUGAAUAUACACCAAGGCUCAUUAAGGGGCUUGAAGGUGUCAAGCACAGAUUAAAAGUGUCGCUGCUGGGAUGUUGCAUUCGGCAUGCAUUGAUGAGAAUGGUUCCGUAUUUGUCUUUGGGGAAAAAGCAGUACAGAAGUUGGGAUUCAGAGAAGGAAAUACAAUUUCAACUCCAUCUAGGAUUGGGGAAUUACCAUUUGCUGAAGAAGUUGCAUGUGGUGCUAAUCACAUAUGUGUCAUCACAAGAGGUGGAGAACUGUAUACAUGGGGUUCCAACGAAAAUGGUUGUCUCGGUACUGGCGAUACACAUAGUGUUUAUGAGCCAGAAAGAGUUCAAGGUCCAUUCGUGAGGCAUUCUGUUUGCAAGGUAUCAUGUGGCUGGAAGCAUACAGCUGCUAUUUCUGAUGGCAAUGUCUAUACAUGGGGUUGGGGUGGCGCGAUGGGCACCUUUUUGGAAGACGAGCAUUCUUCUGGCGGACAACUGGGCCUAGGAGAUGAUGUAGAUUAUGUUGAACCCACCAUCGUCGACUUUGGGGAGAGUGUGAAGGCAUUGCAGAUCUCGUGUGGGUUCAAUCACACAGGGGCAGUACUCGAAUUCAACUGAUUGCAAACAAAGAAAUGUGUCCCAUUUUGCAUGUAAGUUGAAAUGUCGAACGUUUGGUGCAAUCAAACGGGUGAUGUGUCAAACAGGUGACGAAUACAAGUACAAAUAACCGUCAUACAUAAUAAGGCAAGGACGCCAAGUAAGUCAUUCAGACUCCAGAAACUGCAUGUGAAUAAGCAACUAUACGUAUAUUUUUUUGCACAAAUCUCUCGAGAGCAUAGUGUAUGAGUCCAAAAAUAAUCACUUGUGAAUUGUGUGUAUUGUUGUUUAUUCUAAAAACUAGCAUGUGUGAUGCUUAUGUAUUCUGAUUUGUAAUCAUCUUCUACUGGAUAUAUAGCGUACUUCACAUUGAAACUGA
This is an RNA transcript of Cynara cardunculus var. scolymus (artichoke), 1801 nucleotides long. It is a transcript of the gene named ultraviolet-B receptor UVR8, with no coding region annotated. The record is from RefSeq and is a predicted model, not a curated record. Lineage: Eukaryota; Viridiplantae; Streptophyta; Magnoliopsida; Asterales; Asteraceae. The transcript is spliced from 15 exons.